AAAAUACUUUGUUCCCUCCUCAUUCCAGCGGAUAGGACAAUAUCCCUUAUAAUUCCUAAAAUAGCAGGCUAGAGUAGGGAAUAAGGACAGGUUGUGUGGUGUGCACAGGUGCCAUCACUACCUCCAAGAUCUGAUUUCCUGAGCUGACCCUCGCUAUCUUAAUAGCCCUGGUUGAAUCUGUGUUUGAAUCCAUCACACAGAUAAUAGGAGUCUCCUUCUCUUGAGGUUUUCAAGCAGAGGCUGGAUGGAUACCUGAUGGGGGUGGGCUUUGAUUCUGUGUUGCUGGAUGGCAGGGGGUUGGACUGGGGGUCUCUUCCAACUAUAUGAUUCUACGAUUCUAGGGUAAAAUCUGUUACUGUAUUUGAAGACAGUAGACUAUCUUUGGAAUCAAAGCAAUUUGUAUAGUACACAUAGUUCUGUCUUCCAACAAAGGAGUUAUGCCAGAGGGCAUUGAAACUGCUAUACCAAACAUACCAGUAUCAGCCACCCGAGAUGGCUGUCACACCCUAACUAAUAGCAGGGCCAGCCCUGGACACCAGAAAUGUCAAAAAAAAGGUAAUUUGUGCAGCAAGGUACUAACUUUCAAAAAAGUUAGUACCUUACUGCAGUGAAGUGGAAAUGCUGGUUUCAAAUUAUGGUGCGAUUAACUGGAAAUGCUGAGAGGCCCUGGGCUUUUACUAGGUGGGAGGUUUUGCAUUCCACAUAGUCUGGGUUUGACAUCUUUGAGCGUCAAGCUAGAUUAAUCCAGGCAGAAGACACCUGAGUGCUUGGAGGCAGGAAUGUGCUUCGUCAUGAUGAGGUAAUCCUUCCACAACAUCACAGUUUUCUCAGGAAUGCAGCAGCUCUUGGGAGCUCGCUGUUGAAUCGAUAUUAUUUGUUGAUGUUCUAUGGGUUGAUAGACUAUCUGGAUGCAUUCCAUCUAUAAAUGUGUUUCCUUUGUACCUUUCAAAUGCUUAUUUGGUUACUGAUUCACAUUCAGAGGCAUUGCAAUCCAUCCCAUCAUUAGCUUGGAAAUAAUUGGCCAAUGGUGGAAAGGUCUCAUUCACUUUCUGUCUCACUUUGGAAGGAUGUGUUUAAUUCUAAAAUUAGAUUUCUCAACAGUAAAUCCAAUGGGAUAGCAAGAUGCAGAAAGUAGAUAAUCCUUGAAAAAGAAAGCAACUUGCAAAAUCAGAUCACAAUGGUGGAUGGCAGUAAAGGUGGAGGAACAGAAUUUGCUGUAUUUUAAGUAUAAACUAAUUAAUCUGCUAAAGUACAGAACUAAAACACUGUGGGCAGCUUCUGAAGUGUGCAUGGGCUUGUUUGGAAACAUUUUGUCUUCAGCUAGAAUUAAACUUCCAUGAAGAACAUGUUAAAAGCUUAUCACUAGAGAAUAAAAUUUCAACAAGACCCCAAUGGAGAGACUCUUAUUAACUUCCAUAGAGGGAAAGUGAUUAGCAGACACUGCUAUCAAUUUUCUUUCACUUAUACUUUAUCCUUUGAAUUAAAUACUGGUAUGUUUAAUAUAACUUCAUCCUGUUGUACUAGUACAAUGAUGGGGAGAUGAGGAAAUCACAGCAAGGUUUCCAACUCAACUUUAAAAAGGAAAAAUUACACUAUUGCACUCUUCUAUAGCCUGUCAUAUGUUUUAGACCAGGGGUCCCCAAACUUUUUAAACAGGGGGCCUGUUCACUGUCCCUCAGACCAUUGGAUGGCCGG
Molecule: long non-coding RNA, 1695 nt
Organism: Anolis carolinensis (green anole)
Lineage: Eukaryota; Metazoa; Chordata; Lepidosauria; Squamata; Anolidae
Source: Ensembl